This 442-nucleotide ribosomal RNA is filed under the name uncultured bacterium. RNAcentral's name for it is "SSU rRNA". It matches the Rfam family "Bacterial small subunit ribosomal RNA", at positions 26 to 518 of the family's 1533-position model. The record is from RNAcentral.
AGAACGAACGCUGGCGGCAGGCUUAACACAUGCAAGUCGAGCGCCCCGCAAGGGGAGCGGCAGACGGGUGAGUAACGCGUGGGAACAUACCCUCCGGUUCGGAAUAGCUCAGGGAAACUUGGAUUAAUACCGGAUACGGCCUAGCGGCGAAAGAUUCAUCGCCGGAGGAUUGGCCCGCGUUCGAUUAGCUAGUUGGUGAGGUAACGGCUCACCAAGGCGACGAUCGAUAGCUGGUCUGAGAGGAUGAUCAGCCACAUUGGGACUGAGACACGGCCCAAACUCCUACGGGGAGGCAGCAGUGGGGAAUAUGGACAAUGGGCGCAAGCCUGAUCCAGCCAUGCCGCGUGAGUGAUGACGGCCUUAGGGUUGUAAAGCUCUUUCGCUAGGGACGAUAAUGACGGUACCUAGACAAGAGCCCGGCUAACUUCGUGCCAGCAGCCGC